Molecule: ribosomal RNA, 485 nt
Filed under: marine gamma proteobacterium SB6
Lineage: Bacteria; Pseudomonadati; Pseudomonadota; Gammaproteobacteria
Description: bacterial SSU rRNA
Rfam family: Bacterial small subunit ribosomal RNA
Source: RNAcentral
GCUGGCGGCAGGCCUAACACAUGCAAGUCGAACGGUAGCAUUUNUAGCUUGCUAGAAGAUGACGAGUGGCGGACGGGUGAGUAAUACUUAGGAAUAUGCCUUUGUGUGGGGGAUAACCAUUGGAAACNAUGGCUAAUACCGCAUAACGUCUUCGGACCAAAGGGGGCNUUGGCUCCCGCGCAAAGAGUAGCCUAAGCGAGAUUAGCUUGUUGGUGAGGUAAAGGCUCACCAAGGCGACGAUCUCUAGCUGUUCUGAGAGGAAGAUCAGCCACACUGGAACUGAGACACGGUCCANACUCCUACGGGAGGCAACAGUGGGGAAUAUUGCACAAUGGGGGAAACCCUGAUGCAGCCAUGCCGCGUGUGUGAAAGAAGGCCUUCNGGUUGUAAAGCACUUUCAGUUGUGAGGGAAAGGUUAACGGUUAAUACCCGUUAGCCUGUGACGUUUGCAAACUANAANAAGGACCCGGCUAACUCCGUGCCCA